GACGAACGCUGGCGGCGUGCUUAACACAUGCCAGUCGAACGGAAAGGCCCUGCUUUUGUGGGGUGCUCGAGUGGCGAACGGGUGAGUAACACGUGAGUAACCUGCCCUUGACUUUGGGAUAACUUCAGGAAACUGGGGCUAAUACCGGAUAGGAGCUCCUGCUGCAUGGUGGGGGUUGGAAAGUUUCGGCGGUUGGGGAUGGACUCGCGGCUUAUCAGCUUGUUGGUGGGGUAGUGGCUUACCAAGGCUUUGACGGGUAGCCGGCCUGAGAGGGUGACCGGCCACAUUGGGACUGAGAUACGGCCCAGACUCCUACGGGAGGCAGCAGGGGGGAAUAUUGCACAAUGGGCGGAAGCCUGAUGCAGCAACGCCGCGUGCGGGAUGACGGCCUUCGGGGUGGAAACCGCUUUCGCCUGUGACGAAGCGUGAGUGACGGUAAUGGGUAAAGAAGCACCGGCUAACUACGUG
RNAcentral lists this ribosomal RNA (468 nucleotides) under uncultured bacterium. RNAcentral's name for it is "partial 16S ribosomal RNA". It matches the Rfam family "Bacterial small subunit ribosomal RNA", at positions 28 to 507 of the family's 1533-position model. The record is from RNAcentral.